Ciona intestinalis (vase tunicate) is the source of this 183-nucleotide non-coding RNA. The record is from RefSeq and is a predicted model, not a curated record. Lineage: Eukaryota; Metazoa; Chordata; Ascidiacea; Phlebobranchia; Cionidae.
AACAUAGUCAUCGUCAUCCACAACUUCAUUCACUUGAUCUGCAAAACGAUAUUGACCUGAGAUAUAGAGCUUCUGUCAGUCGUGAUGAAAAUGUUGGACCAAAAUUAUAUUUAUACCGAUCCGGAGAAGCCAAAAAAGUCAAUAUUACCAAAAAUUGAAUAUCAAUAAAAUAACUUACCAUAA